CCGUGCUAGAUGGGGAGGUAGCGGUGCCCUGUAACUUGCAACCCGCUAUAGCAAGAUUUAAUUCCUUGUUUGAGGCCGAUUUUCGUGAGUCCGGCCGUAAUAAGCGGCGUUGAAGACCGGGUCUUACGCGACAAAAACUUAUAAACCCCGUCAGGUCCGGAAGGAAGCAGCGGUAAGUAAGAUCUUUUGUGUGCCGUAAGGGCGCCUGGUUAGAGUCGGCUGUUGCGGAACGUUCGGGGAAAUCCGGUCGAUGCAAGGUGCGCGG
This 265-nucleotide signal recognition particle RNA is filed under the name Bacillota bacterium. RNAcentral's name for it is "Firmicutes bacterium (anaerobic digester metagenome) signal recognition particle sRNA large type". It matches the Rfam family "Bacterial large signal recognition particle RNA". Rfam says of the family: The signal recognition particle (SRP) is a universally conserved ribonucleoprotein involved in the co-translational targeting of proteins to membranes. Archaeal SRP consists of a 7S RNA and homologues of the eukaryotic SRP19 and SRP54 proteins. In most bacteria, the SRP consists of a 4.5S RNA and the Ffh protein (a homologue of the eukaryotic SRP54 protein). The record is from RNAcentral. Lineage: Bacteria; Bacillati; Bacillota.